This 253-nucleotide ribosomal RNA is filed under the name uncultured bacterium. Its description in RNAcentral is "partial 16S ribosomal RNA". It matches the Rfam family "Bacterial small subunit ribosomal RNA", at positions 524 to 776 of the family's 1533-position model. The record is from RNAcentral.
UACGUAGGGUGCGAGCGUUGUCCGGAAUUAUUGGGCGUAAAGAGCUCGUAGGCGGCUUGUCGCGUCGGAUGUGAAAGCCCGGGGCUUAACUCCGGGUCUGCAUUCGAUACGGGCAGGCUAGAGUUCGGUAGGGGAGAUCGGAAUUCCUGGUGUAGCGGUGAAAUGCGCAGAUAUCAGGAGGAACACCGGUGGCGAAGGCGGAUCUCUGGGCCAUUACUGACGCUGAGGAGCGAAAGCGUGGGGAGCGAACAGG